AGUGAACGCUGGCGGCAGGCCUAAUACACGCAAGUCGAACGGCAGCACAGCAGAGCUUGCUCUGUGGGUGGCGAGUGGCGGACGGGUGAGGAAUACAUGGGAAUCUGCCCAGUCGUGGGGGAUAACGUAUGGAAACGUACGCUAAUACCGCAUGCGCCCUACGGGGGAAAGCCGGGGACCGCAAGGCCUGGCGCGAUUGGAUGAGCCCAUGUUCGAUUAGCUAGUUGGCGGGGUAAAGGCCCACCAAGGCGACGAUCGAUAGCUGGUCUGAGAGGAUGAUCAGCCACACUGGAACUGAGACACGGUCCAGACUCUUACGGGAGGCAGCAGUAGGGAAUAUUGGACAAUGGGGGCAACCCUGAUCCAGCCAUGCCGCGUGAGUGAAGAAGGCCCUCGGGUUGUAAAGCUCUUUUGUCCGGAAAGAAAAGCAUCUGGUUAAUACCCGGGUGUUCUGACGGUACCGGAAGAAUAAGCACCGGCUAACUUCGUGCC
This 492-nucleotide ribosomal RNA is filed under the name uncultured bacterium. RNAcentral describes it as "bacterial SSU rRNA". It matches the Rfam family "Bacterial small subunit ribosomal RNA", at positions 29 to 509 of the family's 1533-position model. The record is from RNAcentral.